GAUGAACGCUGGCGGCGUGCCUAAUACAUGCAAGUCGAGCGAACAGACGAGGAGCUCGCUUCUCUGACGUUAGCGGCGGACGGGUGAGUAACACGUGGAUAACCUACCUAUAAGACUGGGAUAACUUCGGGAAACCGGAGCUAAUACCGGAUAAUAUAUUGAACCGCAUGGUUCAAUAGUGAAAGACGGUUUUGCUGUCACUUAUAGAUGGAUCCGCGCCGCAUUAGCUAGUUGGUAAGGUAACGGCUUACCAAGGCAACGAUGCGUAGCCGACCUGAGAGGGUGAUCGGCCACACUGGAACUGAGACACGGUCCAGACUCCUACGGGAGGCAGCAGUAGGGAAUCUUCCGCAAUGGGCGAAAGCCUGACGGAGCAACGCCGCGUGAGUGAUGAAGGUCUUCGGAUCGUAAAACUCUGUUAUUAGGGAAGAACAAAUGUGUAAGUAACUAUGCACGUCUUGACGGUACCUAAUCAGAAAGCCACGGCUAACUACGUG
RNAcentral lists this ribosomal RNA (497 nucleotides) under uncultured bacterium. RNAcentral describes it as "partial 16S ribosomal RNA". It matches the Rfam family "Bacterial small subunit ribosomal RNA", at positions 28 to 507 of the family's 1533-position model. The record is from RNAcentral.